RNAcentral lists this ribosomal RNA (496 nucleotides) under uncultured bacterium. RNAcentral describes it as "partial 16S ribosomal RNA". It matches the Rfam family "Bacterial small subunit ribosomal RNA", at positions 39 to 507 of the family's 1533-position model. The record is from RNAcentral.
GGGGGGGGGGGGGGGGGGGGGGGGGCGUGGGGGUGGGGCGGGCGGGGGAGGGGCGGGCUGCGCGGGGGUUGGGGGCGGGCGGGGGGGUGACGCGUGGAUCCCCUACCUAUACGGCGGGGAUAACUUCGGGGCACCGGAGCUACUCCCGGAGCCUAUCUUCACCCGCCUGGUGAGCUGGUGAACGACGUUUUUGCUGUCACUUCUAGAUGUAUCCGCGCCGCAUUAGCUAGUUGGUAAGGUAACGUAUUACCAAGUCAACGAUGCGUCGACGACCUAAGAGGGUGAUCGGCAACACGGGAACUGAGAAACGGUCAAGAAUCCUAAGGGAGGCAGCAGUAGGGAAUCUUCCGCAAUGGGCGAAAGCCUGACGGAGCAACGCCGCGUGAGUGAUGAAGGUCUUCGGAUCGUAAAACUCUGUUAUGAGGGAAGAACAAAUGUGUAAGUAACUAUGCACGUCUUGACGGGACCUAAUCAGAAAGACACGGCUAACGAAGUG